Molecule: ribosomal RNA, 466 nt
Filed under: uncultured bacterium
Lineage: Bacteria
Description: partial 16S ribosomal RNA
Rfam family: Bacterial small subunit ribosomal RNA
Source: RNAcentral
GAUGAACGCUGGCGGCGUGCUUAACACAUGCAAGUCGAACGAUGAAGCCCAGCUUGCUGGGUGGUUUCGUGGCGAACGGGUGAGUAACACGUGAGUAACCUGCCCUUAACUCUGGGAUAAGCCUGGGAAACUGGGUCUAAUACCGGAUAGGAGCGUCCACCGCAUGGUGGGUGUUGGAAAGAUUUAUCGGUUUUGGAUGGACUCGCGGCCUAUCAGCUUGUUGGUGAGGUAAUGGCUCACCAAGGCGACGACGGGUAGCCGGCCUGAGAGGGUGACCGGCCACACUGGGACUGAGACACGGCCCAGACUCCUACGGGAGGCAGCAGUGGGGAAUAUUGCACAAUGGGCGCAAGCCUGAUGCAGCGACGCCGCGUGAGGGAUGACGGCCUUCGGGUUGUAAACCUCUUUCAGUAGGGAAGAAGCGAAAGUGACGGUACCUGCAGAAGAAGCACCGGCUAACUACGUG